GAGUCCAGGACAUGUCAGGCUGAAGCUUGAAUGCGCCAAGAAACGGAUGAGGGCAGCUUGGUCCCCACUCCUUCAAAGGAAAUUGGAAAACAGGAAACGCAUUGGGGUGUCGCGUCUGUAACUUAGCAACAACUGAACCGAUGACUUCACAUCCUUUGUCGGCAACAGCUGGGGGUGAAAUUGGCCCCCCGUCAGCAGCCGCGGGCUCGGAACCCUGAUGACUUCAUAAUAUCUGGGUUCGGAGUCAGAACAGCUGGGAGUCCAUGGUGAUCCAGGCUUGUGUAACCACUUUGUCACCGCCUUUCAAAGACACGCUCACGUAAUGUACACCUACUGACAGUUUGGCUACACCAAAAAUAAUAUCAGCAAUUACCAAAGACCAAAUAUUAUACAGUAAGAAUAUGACGACGCGGACUGAUAUCUUUUUUUUCUCUUCUUU
This is a long non-coding RNA of Xiphophorus maculatus (southern platyfish), 439 nucleotides long. RefSeq lists it as uncharacterized. NCBI's taxonomy places the organism in Eukaryota, Metazoa, Chordata, Actinopteri, Cyprinodontiformes, Poeciliidae. The transcript is spliced from 3 exons. The record is from RefSeq and is a predicted model, not a curated record.